This 200-nucleotide ribosomal RNA is filed under the name uncultured bacterium. RNAcentral's name for it is "partial 16S ribosomal RNA". It matches the Rfam family "Bacterial small subunit ribosomal RNA", at positions 8 to 234 of the family's 1533-position model. The record is from RNAcentral.
AGAGUUUGAUCAUGGCUCAGAACGAACGCUGGCGGCAUGCCUCAUACAUGCAAGUCGAACGCAGGCUUCGGCCUGAGUGGCGCACGGGUGAGUAGCGCGUGGGAACCUACCCUUCUGUGGGGGAUAACCGAGGGAAACUUCGGCUAAUACCGCAUACGCCGGGAAACCGGGAAAGAUUUAUCGCAGAUGGAUGAGCCCGC